CCAGUAAUCUGCACCCUCUAGACUCGGCCUCCUGGAGCUCCGGUACUUCCCGGGAGUCAUUUCAUUUAUGAAUCUAUUAAUAGAUUAAUCCAUCGAUGGGAUCAGAGCCCUCUUGACCCCACCUCCCCACAGCCUUCUAAACAUUGUUGCCACGGGGACCAAGCCACCAACAUACGAGCCUGUGGGGGGCUCCGGGUUCCAACCGUGGCAGCAGCGAAGGAGGAGUGGUAGGGGCUGCUUCUCGAACAGAAUCGGUGACACUGCCUUCUGUGAGGGCUCGCAGGGGUCUGGCUGAUGGGAACUGCAGAGACCAGAGUAACUGGAGACAGAGUUCUCUUCGGUUCUGGAGGCUGAAAGCCCAAGGUCAAAAUGUCAGCCGCCCAGGUUUCUUCUGAGGCCCAUCUCCUUGGCGUGUGCAUGGCCAUCUUCUCCCUGCUUCUUCACAUGUCCUUCUGUGUGUGUCUGUGUCCUAAUCUUAGGAGGACACACGUCCUGGUGGACCGAGGCCUGCUGUAAUGAGCUCAUUGCACCUUCACUACUUUUUUAAAAGAUUGUCUCCAAAUACAGACACAUUCUGAACUACCGUCCUGGAGGUCAGGGUCCCGACGUGUGAAUCUGUGGCGGAUGCAGUUCAGUGCCUAACAGGUAGUCACACUCCCACUCUUCCCAGUCUCCAUCCAAACACAGACUCAGCAGUCUGUCAGAGAAAGGCCACGGCCCUAAUCAUUUUCCCAUUGCUGGGGAAAAACGCCCACCACUCCCAACUUAGAGGGCAGAGCUUGAUUUCCACUCACAGUUUCAGCACAUGGUCGGCUGCUCCGAGGCGGGUAGGAUGGCAGCCCGACAUGGCAGAGGAGAAGCUGCUCGCCUCAUGGCAGCCAGGAAGUCGCAAGAGAAGGGAGAAGCCUUGCACAGGAACACAGCCCUCCAGAUGCAGAGAAUGAGGGCCAGAGCAGAAAAGUAAAGACCUACUUUGUCUACUCUGUCAGCUGAGAAAUGAAAGCCAGAUGCAUCUAGCGCAUGGUGAGACACAGAGAGUAAAGUGGACACGUGUAAGCAGGGAGGUCAGCGGUGAAUUUUGGAGGAAGGAGUUUCUAUGAGACAUUCAAGGUACGAACCUCAUACACAUAGAGCACAGGAUUCACCUCACUCAUGAGCGAGGAAGCCAGCAGGAGACCAGAGACUGGUUCUCUGACUGUUGGAAGGAGAAGUGGAAGCGGGUGUGCAAAGCUGGACGAGCAGUAGGAGCAGACUCCGGG
This is a long non-coding RNA of Heterocephalus glaber (naked mole-rat), 1259 nucleotides long. Lineage: Eukaryota; Metazoa; Chordata; Mammalia; Rodentia; Bathyergidae. The record is from Ensembl.